UGGAUGAUGUGGUUAAUUCGAUGCAACGCGAAAACCUUACCACCUUGACAUGUACGGAAUCCUUUAGAGAUAGAGGAGUGCUCGAAAGAGAGCCGUAACACAGGUGCUGCAUGGCUGUCGUCAGCUCGUGUCGUGAGAUGUUGGGUUAAGUCCCGCAACGAGCGCAACCCUUGUCAUUAGUUGCUACAUUCAGUUGGGCACUCUAAUGAGACUGCCGGUGACAAACCGGAGGAAGGUGGGGAUGACGUCAAGUCCUCAUGGCCCUUAUAGGUGGGGCUACACACGUCAUACAAUGGAUGGUACAAAGGGUCGCCAACCCGCGAGGGGGAGCCAAUCCCAUAAAGCCAUUCGUAGUCCGGAUCGCAGUCUGCAACUCGACUGCGUGAAGUCGGAAUCGCUAGUAAUCGUGGAUCAGAAUGUCACGGUGAAUACGUUCCCGGGUCUU
Molecule: ribosomal RNA, 445 nt
Filed under: uncultured Acidovorax sp.
Lineage: Bacteria; Pseudomonadati; Pseudomonadota; Betaproteobacteria; Burkholderiales; Comamonadaceae
Description: bacterial SSU rRNA
Rfam family: Bacterial small subunit ribosomal RNA
Source: RNAcentral